Molecule: ribosomal RNA, 433 nt
Filed under: uncultured bacterium
Lineage: Bacteria
Description: partial 16S ribosomal RNA
Rfam family: Bacterial small subunit ribosomal RNA
Source: RNAcentral
AACGAACGCUGGCGGCAUGCCUAACACAUGCAAGUCGAACGAGACCUUCGGGUCUAGUGGCGCACGGGUGCGUAACGCGUGGGAACCUGCCUUUAGGUUCGGAAUAACUCAGAGAAAUUUGAGCUAAUACCGGAUGAUGUCUUCGGACCAAAGAUUUAUCGCCUUUAGAUGGGCCCGCGUUGGAUUAGCUAGUUGGUGGGGUAAAGGCCUACCAAGGCGACGAUCCAUAGCUGGUCUGAGAGGAUGAUCAGCCACACUGGGACUGAGACACGGCCCAGACUCCUACGGGAGGCAGCAGUGGGGAAUAGUGGACAAUGGGCGAAAGCCUGAUCCAGCAGUGCCGCGCGAGUGAUGAAGGCCUUAGGGUUGUAAAGCUCUUUUACCCGAGAUGAUAAUGACAGUAUCGGGAGAAUAAGCUCCGGCUAACUCCGUG